AUACCACAUAAAAAUACCUCUAUACCCAGGCAGUGAGCCAGGAUUUGGUAGCUGGUGCUGAGAGAAGACCCUUGAUUACAUCUUUGCCCUAGAACCCUAUCAGUGGCAACUGUUACUCAAUAGGACAGAG
RNAcentral lists this small nucleolar RNA (130 nucleotides) under Otolemur garnettii (small-eared galago). Its description in RNAcentral is "Small nucleolar RNA SNORA30/SNORA37 family (ENSOGAG00000019951.1)". Lineage: Eukaryota; Metazoa; Chordata; Mammalia; Primates; Galagidae. The record is from RNAcentral.